AUGAACCGCCGCGGAUUCGUGCUUGCGGGGGUUGUUUCGAGAGAUGGAGCUUCAGAGGUUAAUACUGAUUCUCCAAUAUCUGGUGCGGCUAAAUCACCCAUGAUCCCUUUGACUGUGAUUGCCGAGGUUGCUUCGAGCCUUGAGAAUUUUUCAAGCCUCGAGGAUCUUGCUUCUGCAGCUCUUGCUUCACCUAAGGAGGAAGCUGUGAACACCAUCAACGAUGUUUUAUCUGAGUUGGGUUUAUCAGAAACCCCUGCUGCUGCUGAGGAGGGGGCUCCGUCAGUCAAAGGUUGUGAUUCCGUUCUGGAUCCUUUGUGCUGUCUUCAGAUGUCAGAGACGCAGUCGCAGUCUGUUGAUGGCACUAAACCUGUCACGCAACCCGAGGAUGUGCCUCUUCAGCAUCUCCUGGAGGACCAACGUAAGAGGAAGAAGCAAGAAGAUUUUGACAAGAAGAGGGCGUCCCGCCUUGAGAAAGGUUCCGAUGUUCCUGGAUCUGUUCAUGCGGCUGAGCUCACUGUUGAGGAUGACGUGCCGUGUGGCAGUGAUGGCACGGUUGUCCCUGUUAAGAAGAAAAUCAUGAAGACCGUUGUGAGGAAGCUAGUAGUUGGUGAAGUUACUCCUCGGAGGAGCCCACGUGUUUCAAGGCCUGCAGAAGUUGUUGAAGAUGAAGGGCUAGGCCUUGGUGAGGACAAGGAUGAUGCUGAUUUCAAUGCUGAUGAUGAGGACGACGACGAUGAUGAUGCUGCCGCUAAUCAGUAUCAGCUUAUGGAGCGGCCUGAGAGGAGGAAGAGAGGAGGCAAAGCGCCCGAAGAAGGUGGCCAAGGAGGAGGUGAGACGAAACAUUUUAACAAGACGGUUCGCUGCCCACUAGGAGAGGUCAAGACGUGUGUAAAAAUGCUACAACCUAGGCACAAGACGACGGUUAUCAAGGUUGGUUUUGGUUGUGUGUUUGACUUGAAGGUUGAUUCCAACAUUUCUCGUCCUUUGAUGUGCAACAUCUACACGAGGAUAGACCCUUCAACCAUGAUUUUGGACAUGGGUGAGGCGAACAAGGUUCUAUGUAUUACAAGUGAUGCUAUUCAGCAUCUCUUAGGGUUCCCUCAAGGUAAUCGUACCCCCCCUAGGCCCUCGAAUGAUGGUUUCGAUGAUGCUGUUAUGAGGUUGAAGGGCAAGCUUGGGUAUGCUAGGAGUGACGACAUCAAGACAAAGGAUUUGCGGAAUAUCCUCGCUGGACUUGUGAAGGAUGAGACGAAGGAUGAUCUUGCUCUCAAGGUACUAGCGGAGGUCACAAGCUGUGCCAUCGCGCCGCUUCUUAUGUAUCUGGACUGCCUUAUCAUUGGCAAGACGCCUAAUAUUGACUUGAGGACCCCUCGCAUCAAUUUCAUGGAUCAGGCCAAGCUUCUUGAUCUUGCUGCGGCUGACUUGGUCACAAAGGGUGAUGAUGACCCAGCCAACUGGGUGUUUGGGAGACUGCCUGUUGUUGAUGAUGAUGCUAGGGUUGAGGAGGAUGUUUUACCUGCGCAUGAAGCUGCUCCUGUGCAUGAGGCUGCCCCUGUGCAUGAACCUGCUCCCGCUAGUGGCAUAAUAGUUGAUGAGCUUCAUGGCAGGGAAAAUAAGCAGAAUGAUGAUGUUAGUGUUCCUCCAGAGAAGGUUGCAGACAAGUCCGUCUCAGGCACCGGCUGCUCCGACGGGGUGGACCUGACUGAACCUCAGUCGUCCAUUGGCGCUGAGGUUUCUGAUGCUGAGCAGGGCAAGACAAUUGGAGACAUCAUUUUGGAGAAAGAUCCUGUUGAGUCUGCUGUUGGAACUGGUGGUAGUGCUGCUGCAAGCCCGGAUAAGUCUCCUGCAGCAGAGCCAUUAGUUGAUGUUGAUGUUGUACAGGCACAACCAAAAGUUUUUCUUGUUUCAGAUUCUCCAGUUGCUCCAGCUGCUGCUGGCGUCCUUCCCGACGAUGCUGCAUGUCUACUGGAGACGAUGAUGAAGAGACCGAAAGCGAUAUCUAUGGAGAGGAGAUCAAUGAUUAUGUUCCAAAACAAGGAGUGUGAAGCUUCUGUUGAGGAUGUUGCAAUAUUUUUUGGUCCUCGUGGAAUGCUUCGAUCUAAUGUGGCUGAGUGUGCACUCUACUGUCUACGUGCGAAGUACCAGGGAUCGGAUAAACUCAUCCUGCCGUAUUGGGUUUGUGACAAGAUUUUCAGAGGUCAAUUUGAUUCCCGUGUGAGGAAGUACUUCUUGGCGAGUGGUCCAGAUAGAAUGGAUGCACAUGAUUCGGUUGUUUUCCCCACUUUUGACCCGCCUGAGAUUCCUGCUUCCAUGGGUGGUGUUGGUCAUUGGGUUUCAAUAUUUCUUGACAUGAAGAAUUCAAGGUUCCAGCUUCUCGACUCCUAUUAUGGACCAGAAGAUGAAUGUGCGGUACGCCUGUUUCGGUGGAUGACCGACAACAUCAAGAAGCUUUGGAGCGAUGCCAGCAAUGACAGGGAGACACCCUUCAGUCCUCUUACGAUCGACCAUUUCGCUCUGGAUUGUAUUGAUGUGCCCCAGCAGCAAAACAAUAUCGACUGUGGAUUCUUCAUGCUUACGAAUGUUAAUUUGUAUCAUGACGGGGUUCUUGCAAAUUAUUCCCAUGAGAAUAUCGCGGAUAUCAGGAAGACGUGCAUGUACUCAAUCGCUUCUUCUAACCUAUUUGAGACAGACUUCCAAGCUCUGUUUGGCUACUACACAGGGCAGCAGAUGGAAGGAGACAUAAUGGAUUAUCUCAUAAAUUUGUGGAAGGAUAAGCCGGAGACCUCCGAGAUAUACACUAGUGCUGACAGGGUUGUUCUUAGUCCCUACUUCAUACAGUACUGCCUGGAGUAUGAUUUCUAUGCUGCAACAGUUCCAAAGUUUGAUGCAAAAAAAUCUGCUGGUCUCCUCCCAAUGUUUGUUCGCAAGGAAGAAGACCUUCUUAACGCAAAGCUGGUUUUCUUGAUACUAUUUAAGCCAAUUGGCACAAUGGCGCACUGCAGUGUCUAUGUGGUGAAUAGAUAUCGUGGGAGCAUUGACAUCCUUGAUUCACCUCCUUACGCUAAUAUGCAAACGUUGCGAACGAGUUUCCACGGGGACUAUCAAAAUAUCAUCAAGAGAUUUGUUGGGUUGCUCGAGGAGGUGUACGGCAAGGCUGCGUACAAGGCGAGCAAGCAACCUAACUGGUUCUGCUCUUCAUAUGAUGGCGAUGAGAUUGUUGAAGAUUUUGGUGAUGUGGAAGCUGCUGUAGAUGACUGGAAGGCUGAGUUCAUGCACACUCUGAUUUUUAGCGAGAAGAAUGAAGUCAUGCGUUCAGAGCUCCCUAAAGAGAUCCAGUUCUUUGGCCCAUGA
RNAcentral lists this ribosomal RNA (3351 nucleotides) under Triticum aestivum (bread wheat). RNAcentral's name for it is "partial small subunit ribosomal RNA". Lineage: Eukaryota; Viridiplantae; Streptophyta; Magnoliopsida; Poales; Poaceae. The record is from RNAcentral.